GCUAACAUGAGCUUUCAACUGACAAAAUGUAUAUACUCUCGACUAUGAAGUUAGAGGAUGCAUCCCUACCCAUAGAUGGUUGAACUCAACAAAUGUAUGAUGGAUGGGUUGACUAAAAGUAGUUGAGCUAGCAUCUUACAAAUUGUCUUUCAUCCUCCACAUUCUUCCUCCCAUAAGGAUUGCUCUCACUAAAUCUAUUCCUGCUCCCUUCUACUUUACGCGUUUUCUUCCUGAAUUUUGAGGCACUGCUGUCAAUGUUAAGGUUGACCUUUGGAGGAUUGGAAAAGCAAAAUGAAGCAGCAAUACCCUGCAGAUCAAGGCGGUGGACAUUGAAAAUAUCUUUCAUUGAGUGUGAAUUAUAAGCUAAUAAAUAGGAUCUGUAAGCAUCUUUA
This 392-nucleotide unclassified non-coding RNA is filed under the name Hevea brasiliensis (rubber tree). The record is from RNAcentral. Lineage: Eukaryota; Viridiplantae; Streptophyta; Magnoliopsida; Malpighiales; Euphorbiaceae.